UCCAAGGUAAAGGUCUCGUUGGUGACCAGCGGAGGGAUCAUUACCGAGUUAUACAACUCCCAAACCCACUGUGAACCUUACCUCAGUUGCCUCGGCGGGAACGCCCCGGCCGCCUGCCCCCGCGCCGGCGCCGGACCCAGGCGCCCGCCGCAGGGACCCCAAACUCUCUUGCAUUACGCCCAGCGGGCGGAAUUUCUCCUCUGAGUUGCACAAGCAAAAACAAAUGAAUCAAAACUUUCAACAACGGAUCUCUUGGUUCUGGCAUCGAUGAAGAACGCAGCGAAAUGCGAUAAGUAAUGUGAAUUGCAGAAUUCAGUGAAUCAUCGAAUCUUUGAACGCACAUUGCGCCCGCCAGCAUUCUGGCGGGCAUGCCUGUUCGAGCGUCAUUUCAACCCUCGAGCCCCCCCCCGGGGGCCUCGGUGUUGGGGGACGGCACACCAGCCGCCCCCGAAAUGCAGUGGCGACCCCGCCGCAGCCUCCCCUGCGUAGUAGCACACACCUCGCACCGGAGCGCGGAGGCGGUCACGCCGUAAAACGCCCAACUUUCUUAGAGUUGACCUCGGAUCAGGUAGGAAUACCCGCUGAACUUAAGCAUAUCAAUAAGCGGAGGAAAAGAAACCAACAGGGAUUGCCCCGUUAACG
Molecule: ribosomal RNA, 642 nt
Filed under: Purpureocillium lilacinum
Lineage: Eukaryota; Fungi; Ascomycota; Sordariomycetes; Hypocreales; Ophiocordycipitaceae
Description: eukaryotic LSU rRNA
Rfam family: 5.8S ribosomal RNA (bases 233-386)
Source: RNAcentral